GACGAACGCUGGCGGCGUGCUUAACACAUGCAAGUCGAGCGGUAAGGCCCUUCGGGUACACGAGCGGCGAACGGGUGAGUAACACGUGGGUGACCUGCCUCUAGCUCUGGGAUAAGCCUGGGAAACUGGGUCUAAUACCGGAUAUGACUCCACGGCGCAUGUUGUGGGGUGGAAAGCCUUGUGUGGCUAGAGAUGGGCCCGCGGCCUAUCAGCUUGUUGGUGGGGUGAUGGCCUACCAAGGCGACGACGGUAGCCGGCCUGAGAGGGCGACCGGCCACACUGGGACUGAGACACGGCCCAGACUCCUACGGGAGGCAGCAGUGGGGAAUCUUGCGCAAUGGGCGAAAGCCUGACGCAGCGACGCCGCGUGGGGA
RNAcentral lists this ribosomal RNA (374 nucleotides) under uncultured bacterium. RNAcentral's name for it is "bacterial SSU rRNA". It matches the Rfam family "Bacterial small subunit ribosomal RNA", at positions 28 to 407 of the family's 1533-position model. The record is from RNAcentral.